Non-coding RNA from Phascolarctos cinereus (koala), 2711 nucleotides. NCBI's taxonomy places the organism in Eukaryota, Metazoa, Chordata, Mammalia, Diprotodontia, Phascolarctidae. The record is from RefSeq and is a predicted model, not a curated record.
GAAGGAAAUGGCAAACCGCUCUAGUACCUCUGCCAAGAAAACCUCAAAAGGGGUCAUGAAGAAUCAGACAGGAUUGAACUGCUACAAUUAUUUGCAUAUGCCAUAAUUUGUCCAGUCAUUUCUUAGUCUCCCUGGAAUAUUUUCAUAUUUGUUUCUAGCUUUUCCAGUCACAAAUAAUGCAGCCUCUGUGCCCAUUUUUGUACAGAAGGGUCUUCGUCAAUCCUUUCCUUGGAAUCUCUUGGUCGAAGGGGGUGUAUGACUUAGUAGCCACAUUUGCACAGUUCCAGGCUGUUUUUCAGGAGUGCUGUUGCCACGUGCAACAUCUUUUAUAAACGCCCUGGCGGGGAGCCUGGCAGAAGCUGCGGGCCAUGCCAUCCUUGCUGGAGGUUUCGAUGACACUGAAGAAUGCAUGAGAGACGGAAGUGAGGCGGGGGUGCACUGCAGGCCUGGGGGACAAAGGCUGGGAGGCAGGAGAUGAGGGUGAUGCAUGCAAGGCCAGCCUGGUGCAAUCCUCCUGGGCACGGAUUCUGGGCGGGGGAGGCUGUUUAAUGCCAAACGGGGCAGCCGGAUGAUCCAGACAAUCCCGUAGGUAAUAGUUGGAGUGGGCCGUGGGCACCUCUAGCCAAGCCACAGCAAGAGCAGGUCAGACGCCGGAGGGCCAAAGCCACGCGGACAGCACCCCGGGCACCUGGCCGCGGAGCCGCCGUGCGCACGCGCACCACGCCCGUUGACGUCAUGCACUGCUUGGCCUCCGGGGCGGCCGCACGCUCGCCAUGAUAGCCGUGGGCCGCCUCCGGCUGGCCCGAGGCUUCCUGGAGGGGCUGCGGCGGCCGGCGCUGGUCGUGCGCGCGGCCGGCGCCGCCACGAGCCUCCGCCGCCCUCCCCCGCCCGUCCCCGGGCCCAGCCGCGGACGCCCGCGGAUCCUGUCGGCGGCCGCCAUCGUGGACGCGGCGCCCCGCCCUCUGCAGCCCUAUCUGCGCCUUAUGCGGCUGGACAAGCCCAUCGGAACCUGGCUGUUGUAUUUGCCUUGUACCUGGAGUAUUGGCUUGGCAGCAGAGCCAGGCUGUUUUCCAGACUGGUAUGUGUUGUCCCUUUUUGGCGCUGGCGCGAUACUGAUGCGGGGAGCUGGCUGUACAAUUAAUGACAUGUGGGAUCAGGACUAUGACAGAAAGGUUACAAGGACAGCAAAUCGACCAAUCGCUGCUGGGGAUAUUUCAACUUUUCAGUCUUUGGUUUUCCUUGGAGGACAGCUGAGCUUGGCACUGUGUGUACUCCUGUGUCUGAAUUAUUACAGUAUAGCACUGGGAGCCGCAUCAUUGUCUCUGGUGGUCAUUUAUCCUCUGAUGAAAAGAAUUACUUAUUGGCCGCAGUUAGCGUUGGGACUGACCUUUAACUGGGGAGCAUUACUGGGAUGGUCCGCCAUCAAAGGCUCCUGUGAUGUGUCUGUGUGCCUACCCCUUUAUCUCUCUGGAGUUAUGUGGACGUUAAUAUAUGACACUAUCUAUGCUCAUCAGAUACGGCUCGUGCACUUUAACCCCUUCCUUGAAUGACAGUCACCAGCCCAGCUCAAAACACUGCAGUGUGUUCCUGUUAACUCUGAGUAAAAAUGCCAGGUUCUGUGCCUGAUGUUCAAGGCUGUCCGUGGUCUGCCUCCAGCCUGUCUUUUCACCUCAUUUCACGUCGUCUCCUUUCACCGACUCCAUCCAUGUUCCAGCCAAACCGAGCUCUCAUGGCUGUUUCCGAAGGAAGGUAGUCCCGAGGCAUCUGGAUAGUCAACAGUUUGGUCCCUCUUCUCCCUCCUUCCUAAUUGUAGAUUUGGAACCGAAAGGGAACUUCAGAGGCUAGCCUCUCGAUUUGUAGGUGAGGAAACUGAGUCCCAUGGUGCUUGAAUGACUUACCCAAGAUCAGUCAGAGGCAGGAUUUGAACCCAGAGCCUCUAGCUCAGAAGCCACUACUUUCCAGAGUGUUUCACUUGUUCCUGUUUUCCAUUGUCUUUUUGCCCUUGGGCACCUGUUAAUAGCAGCUCCACCAGGUCUUUCUCAAAAGAGAACAUAGGUACAACCAUUUUUCCAACUGGCUGCGACUUCCUUCUUUCUUCUAGUUUUGUUUAUAACAUGAAUGUAAAGAUUGAGAAGUUCCUCCAGGGAUGUACCCCCUCGGUCACUGGACAAGAGUAUCGCAUUGAGAGUACCACGUACAGUAGAGUCCAGCAUAACCAAGUUUAUCAUUAUUGUUGUACUAUGAAUUUAGAAGACUGCAAAUCAAAUCAUACCCUGCAAACAUAAAAAUUUCACGGACUUUGAAGUAUGACGUAGCACAGACUGUAAGGCAGAUGUUAGACCGUUUUCUAGUGUCAGCAUUAUAAGAAGUUUCAGCCAUCUACCGACAGGGCAGCACAUAGAAAUUACUUAAAUAACGUCUGUGCAGAUAGGUUGAUGUAUUGAAGAAUUUACAUCUAUGCUUGUGUGGUAGGUACCAACAUCUGCUCCACACAGACUAGUCUUUCCCAAAAGGUAGAGAAAUUGUACUUGAGACUUACUCAGUGCAGGAGACUAAGCUCUGAAUAAGACUAAGGUGCGCACCAUGGACAUACUUCCUAGUUGCCUAAAGCAUGAUGAAACCGGGCGCCUCAGCAGGCACACCUGGAGCAGCAUGGUGGAUAGAGGGCCAGCCCUGGAGUCAGGAGGACUCAUCUUCCUGAGUUCAAAUCU